CUAACACAUGCAAGUCGAGCGGCAGCACAAGGGAGUUUACUCCUGAGGUGGCGAGCGGCGGACGGGUGAGUAAUGCCUAGGGAUCUGCCCAGUCGAGGGGGAUAACAGUUGGAAACGACUGCUAAUACCGCAUACGCCCUACGGGGGAAAGAGGGGGACCUUCGGGCCUCUCGCGAUUGGAUGAACCUAGGUGGGAUUAGCUAGUUGGUGAGGUAAUGGCUCACCAAGGCGACGAUCCCUAGCUGUUCUGAGAGGAUGAUCAGCCACACUGGGACUGAGACACGGCCCAGACUCCUACGGGAGGCAGCAGUGGGGAAUAUUGCACAAUGGGGGAAACCCUGAUGCAGCCAUGCCGCGUGUGUGAAGAAAGCCUUCGGGUUGUAAAGCACUUUCAGUAGGGAGGAAAGGGUGAGUCUUAAUACGGCUCAUCUGUGACGUUACCUACAGAAGAAGGACCGGCUAACUCCGUGCCAGCAGCCGCGGUAAUACGGAGGGUCCGAGCGUUAAUCGGAAUUACUGGGCGCUUAAGCGUGCGCAGGCGGUUUG
This 546-nucleotide ribosomal RNA is filed under the name uncultured bacterium. RNAcentral describes it as "bacterial SSU rRNA". It matches the Rfam family "Bacterial small subunit ribosomal RNA", at positions 48 to 582 of the family's 1533-position model. The record is from RNAcentral.